RNAcentral lists this ribosomal RNA (472 nucleotides) under uncultured bacterium. RNAcentral describes it as "bacterial SSU rRNA". It matches the Rfam family "Bacterial small subunit ribosomal RNA", at positions 28 to 507 of the family's 1533-position model. The record is from RNAcentral.
GGUGAACGCUGGCGGUGCGCCUAAUGCAUGCAAGUCGAGCGACGCACUCCGGAGGGGUAACCCACUGGAAUGACGGAGCGGCGAACGGGUGAGUAACACGUGAGCAACCUGCCCCGCAGACCGGGAUAGCCCAGGGAAACUUGGAUUAAUACCGGAUACCCUCGGAGGAUCGCAUGAUCCAUCGAGGAAAAGCCUUUGUGCUGUGGGAUGGGCUCGCGACUUAUCAGCUAGUUGGUGGGGUAACGGCCUACCAAGGCUUCGACGAGUAGCUGGUCUGAGAGGACGAUCAGCCACACUGGAACUGAGACACGGUCCAGACUCCUACGGGAGGCAGCAGCAGGGAAUCUUGUCCAAUGGGCGAAAGCCUGAGACAGCGACACCGCGUGGGGGAUGAAGGCCUUCGGGUUGUAAACCCCUUUCAGGAGGGAAGAAAUUGACGGUACCUCCACAAGAAGGACCGGCCAACUACGUG